GUCUACGGCCAUGCUAUCCUGAACAAGCCUGAUCCUCUCUGAUCUCGGAAGCUAAGCAGGGCUAGGCCUGGUUAGUAUUUGGAUGGGAGACCACCUAGGAAGACCAGGUGCUGUAGGUG
Molecule: ribosomal RNA, 119 nt
Filed under: Pteropus alecto (black flying fox)
Lineage: Eukaryota; Metazoa; Chordata; Mammalia; Chiroptera; Pteropodidae
Source: RNAcentral